This 743-nucleotide ribosomal RNA is filed under the name uncultured archaeon. RNAcentral describes it as "bacterial SSU rRNA". It matches the Rfam family "Archaeal small subunit ribosomal RNA", at positions 134 to 859 of the family's 1478-position model. The record is from RNAcentral.
GGGAAACUGGGGCUAAUUCCCAAUAGGUGAAGAACUCUGGAAUGAGUCUCCGCCAGAAAAGACGCUUACGCCAUGCUUGUAGGCGCCGCCCAAGGAUGGGGCCGCGACCGAUCAGGUUGUUGGUGAGGUAACGGCUCACCAAGCCUUUUACCGGUACGGGCCGUGAGAGCGGGAGCCCGGAGAUGGGCACUGAGACAAGGGCCCAGGCCCUACGGGGCGCAGCAGUCGCGCAAACUUUGCAAUACACGAAAGUGUGACAGGGCUAUCCCGAGUGCCGCCCGCUGAGGGUGGCUUUUACUCAGUUUAGCAAGCUGGGAGAAUAAGGAGAGGGCAAGUCUGGUGUCAGCCGCCGCGGUAAUACCAGCUCUCCGAGUGGUGUGGAUGUUUAUUGGGCCUAAAGCAUCCGUAGCUUGCUGAGUCAGUCCCCUGUUAAACCCAGCGAAUUAAUCGCUGGAGUGCGGGGGAUACUGCUCGGCUAGGGGACGAGAGAGGCAGACGGUAUUCUCGGGGUAGGGGUGAAAUCCUAUAAUCCCGGGAAGACCACCAGUGGCGAAGGCUGUCUGCUAGAACGCGCCCGACGGUGAGGGAUGAAAGCUGGGGGAGCGAACCGGAUUAGAUACCCGGGUAGUCCCAGCUGUAAACUAUGCAGGCUAGGUGUUUGAGCGGCCACGUGCCGCUCUAGUGCCGCAGGGAAGCUGUUAAGCCUGCCGCCUGGGGAGUACGGUCGCAAGAUUGAAACUUAA